UACGGUAGGGUGCAAGCGUUAAUCGGAAUUACUGGGCGUAAAGCGUGCGCAGGCGGCUAUGCAAGACAGAUGUGAAACUCCCCGGGCUCAACCUGGGAACUGCAUUUGUGACUGCAUGGCUAGAGUACGGUAGAGGGGGAUGGAAUUCCGCGUGUAGCAGUGAAAUGCGUAGAUAUGCGGAGGAACACCGAUGGCGAAGGCAAUCCCCUGGACCUGUACUGACGCUCAUGCNCGAAAG
Molecule: ribosomal RNA, 238 nt
Filed under: uncultured bacterium
Lineage: Bacteria
Description: partial 16S ribosomal RNA
Rfam family: Bacterial small subunit ribosomal RNA
Source: RNAcentral